Molecule: long non-coding RNA, 415 nt
Filed under: Carica papaya (papaya)
Lineage: Eukaryota; Viridiplantae; Streptophyta; Magnoliopsida; Brassicales; Caricaceae
Description: long non-coding RNA (CPAP_LNC004770)
Source: RNAcentral
AAACAAGCUGACUAGUCAUUUUGGUGUGGAUUGAGUUGUUAAUAGGAAAAGUGAAUAGGAAUUUAAAGAGUUGUAAAGCUUUAGCAGAUAUGCACUAUUUUCAAGUGUCUGUGAAUGAGUGAGAGGGAACAACAAAGCUGGGUGGAAAAGAGGAACGAAUGGGUUUGAGAGGAUAUUGGUAAAAGCUUGGAGAUCUUUGGUGGGUGUGGGUGAUAUGCAUGCUUUUAGUUGUUUCUUUUUUAUUUUUAGUACACAUAUAGCCAAAGGAAUGCUUGUUCUAAUUCUCAGAAUCUAUAAGGUAUCCAUUAACCCAUAUAGGCAUGAUCCUUGGAGCUUCUAUACAUACAAUAUGAAAUUCACGCACAACCAAAGUUAAUCAAUUCUAUGUCAACUAGUUUAGACAGUUAGGUGUCUC